Molecule: non-coding RNA, 221 nt
Organism: Pelobates cultripes (western spadefoot toad)
Lineage: Eukaryota; Metazoa; Chordata; Amphibia; Anura; Pelobatidae
Source: the annotation of a GenBank genome assembly
GGUAUGUAAGUCGCAUAAGCCUAUGAUUCCCAGCGGCCCCGUGUCUUAACGUGUGCGGGGAUGUCUUGGCUAUAGGCCGUGGAGGCUGCUCCUAUCCUAAAGGAGUGCCCUGAGUAGUCGCUAGGGUUUAGUUCGAGCCCGGUGAAUGAGUAGGUGGACAUAGUGCAUGAACUUACCUGUGAUAAGGACAGUAUCAUACAGUGACAGUAAUGGUUCAGUGG